This 516-nucleotide ribosomal RNA is filed under the name uncultured bacterium. RNAcentral describes it as "partial 16S ribosomal RNA". It matches the Rfam family "Bacterial small subunit ribosomal RNA", at positions 28 to 523 of the family's 1533-position model. The record is from RNAcentral.
GACGAACGCUGGCGGCAUGCCUAAUACAUGCAAGUCGAGCGGAGUUGAUGGAAAGCUUGCUUUCCUGAUACUUAGCGGCGGACGGGUGAGUAACACGUAGGCAACCUGCCCUCAAGCUUGGGACAACUACCGGAAACGGUAGCUAAUACCGAAUACUUGUUUUCUUCGCCUGAAGAGAACUGGAAAGACGGAGCAAUCUGUCACUUGGGGAUGGGCCUGCGGCGCAUUAGCUAGUUGGUGAGGUAACGGCUCACCAAGGCGACGAUGCGUAGCCGACCGGAGAGGGUGAUCGGCCACACUGGGACUGAGACACGGCCCAGACUCCUACGGGAGGCAGCAGUAGGGAAUCUUCCGCAAUGGGCGAAAGCCUGACGGAGCAAUGCCGUGUGAGUGAUGAAGGUUUUCGGAUCGUAAAGCUCUGUUGCCAGGGAAGAACGCUUGGGAGAGUAACUGCUCCCAAGGUGACGGUACCUGAGAAGAGAGCCCCGGCUAACUACGUGCCAGCAGCCGCCGUAA